GCGUACCAUUAGUUAGUUGGUGGGGUAAAGGCCUCCCAAGGCGACGAUGGUUAGUUGGUCUGAGAGGAUGAUCAGCCACACUGGAACUGGAACACGGUCCAGACUCCUACGGGAGGCAGCAGUGAGGAAUUUUGCGCAAUGGGGGAAACCCUGACGCAGCAACGCCGCGUGAGUGAUGAAGGCUUUCGGGUCGUAAAGCUCUGUCAAGUGGGAAGAAGUUGUGUAUGGCUAAUAUCUGUGCACAUUGACGGUACCACUGAAGGAAGCACCGGCUAACUCCGUGCCAGCAGCCGCGGUAAUACGGAGGGUGCAAGCGUUAUUCGGAUUUACUGGGCGUAAAGGGCGCGUAGGCGGCUUGAUAAGUCAGUCGUGAAAGCCCGGGGCUCAACCCCGGAAGUGCGAUUGAAACUAUUUGGCUUGAGUAUGGUAGAGGGAAGUGGAAUUCCUGGUGUAGCGGUGAAAUGCGUAGAUAUCUGGAGGAACACCGGUGGCGAAGGCGACUUCCUGGACCAAUACUGACGCUGAUGCGCGAAGGUGUGGGUAGCAAACAGGAUUAGAUACCCUGGUAGUCCACACAGUAAACGGUGAUCACUAGGUGUUGCGGGUAUUGACCCCUGCAGUGCCGGAGCUAACGCAUUAA
This 640-nucleotide ribosomal RNA is filed under the name uncultured bacterium. Its description in RNAcentral is "bacterial SSU rRNA". It matches the Rfam family "Bacterial small subunit ribosomal RNA", at positions 233 to 863 of the family's 1533-position model. The record is from RNAcentral.